RNAcentral lists this ribosomal RNA (253 nucleotides) under uncultured bacterium. RNAcentral describes it as "partial 16S ribosomal RNA". It matches the Rfam family "Bacterial small subunit ribosomal RNA", at positions 524 to 776 of the family's 1533-position model. The record is from RNAcentral.
UACGUAGGGACCAAGCGUUGUUCGGAAUUACUGGGCGUAAAGCGUGUGUAGGCGGCCGCGUAAGUCGGAUGUGAAAGCCCUGGGCUCAACCCAGGAAGUGCACUCGAUACUGCGUGGCUUGAGUACUGGAGAGGUUGGUGGAAUUCUCGGUGUAGAGGUGAAAUUCGUAGAUAUCGAGAGGAACACCGGUGGCGAAGGCGGCCAACUGGACAGAUACUGACGCUGAGACACGAAAGCGUGGGGAGCAAACAGG